This 233-nucleotide long non-coding RNA is filed under the name Elaeis guineensis (African oil palm). Its description in RNAcentral is "long non-coding RNA (EGUI_LNC055774)". The record is from RNAcentral. Lineage: Eukaryota; Viridiplantae; Streptophyta; Magnoliopsida; Arecales; Arecaceae.
AAUUGGGAGAUCAAAUCCUUGAUCUGUAGCCUUCUUCUUCUUCUCUUGAUCCUUAAUCUCUAAGUCACCAGAACUCCUUCUAGGCAUAUGAAAGAGAGAACACCCAACCUUUGGGCAUGAAAAGGAAGAGUAUGAGAGAGAGGAGGCAUGGAGAUGGAGAGAGAGAAGAUUUUCUUGAUGAAAAAUGAAUACUAAGAAACCCUAGAGACCUCUCUUUAAAUAGACAUAAGCCC